UACAGAGGUCCCAAGCGUUGUUCGGAUUCACUGGGCGUAAAGGGUGCGUAGGUGGUGAGGUAAGUCGGAUGUGAAAUCUCCGAGCUCAACUCGGAAAUGGCAUUGGAAACUACCUUGCUCGAGGGUUGGAGGGGGGACUGGAAUACUUGGUGUAGCAGUGAAAUGCGUAGAUAUCAAGUGGAACACCAGUGGCGAAGGCGAGGCCCGGGACAGUUCCUGACACUGAGGCACGAAGGCCAGGGGAGCAAACGGU
This 253-nucleotide ribosomal RNA is filed under the name uncultured bacterium. RNAcentral's name for it is "partial 16S ribosomal RNA". It matches the Rfam family "Bacterial small subunit ribosomal RNA", at positions 524 to 776 of the family's 1533-position model. The record is from RNAcentral.